UUAAUGCUGUUCUUUGCAGGGCUCCAGACAAGGGCCCUAUUGGCGCAUGUACAGAUAUAAAAUAAGCACUAUAUGGUUGGAAA
Molecule: long non-coding RNA, 83 nt
Organism: Haliotis rubra (blacklip abalone)
Lineage: Eukaryota; Metazoa; Mollusca; Gastropoda; Lepetellida; Haliotidae
Exons: 3
Source: RefSeq, a predicted model, not a curated record